Long non-coding RNA from Malania oleifera, 423 nucleotides. RefSeq lists it as uncharacterized. Lineage: Eukaryota; Viridiplantae; Streptophyta; Magnoliopsida; Santalales; Ximeniaceae. The record is from RefSeq and is a predicted model, not a curated record. The transcript has 2 exons.
AAAUAACAAAACGAUGUCGUUCAUCCUAAACGGAAAUCUUUCAGCGUCAUUUAGAAACCCAUUUCUUUCCUCCUAUUUUAUUUCUCUCAAUCAACGUUCCCUCCUCCUUAGCCAUCUUAGCCAACCAUAUGAAGAUUUGAAUUUUCUUGUUGGUUGUUAAAUAAGAAACACACCUGCUGCUGCGGUAGUUUGAAACCUCCCUGCUGCGCUGCUGCUGGUUGAUGAGCUUAGGUGGUUUGGGUUUGAAGUGUUGCUAAAAUAAAAAGGUGCAGUAUGUGUUUGUUAAAAUGUCUGUGAGAAAAUUUAAUCAGUUAUCUUGGCUCCGUGGAGUGUCAUUUGUGAUGAAACAAGUAUCCAACUAUUACUAUUUUGGAAUGAAAAUUUACUUUCGUCCUUAAAUAGUGACUUUUUAGGGACAGGACA